GUUUAGAGGUUUAGUCCAUCAUGGUGGGAAGCAUGGCAGUAUGCAGGCAGACAUGGUGCUGAAGAAGGAGCUGAGUUCUCCAUCUUGAUAUAAAGGCAGCGGAAGGAGACUUUCACACUGGCCAUAGCUUGAUCAUAGGAGACCCCUAGGCCCGCCCCCAUAGUGACACACUUCCUCCAUCAAGGCCACACUUCCUAAUAGUGCCACUUGAUAUGGGCCAAGUAUUCAAACACAUGAGUCUAUGGGGGCCACUGCUAUUCAGACCCCAAUAGGGAGGGAAUUACUUUGUGAAACCCAAGGAGCUCUGGCCCUAGAGACUUACUUUGUUGCUCAUCAGCUGCCAGGUCUCCACUCUCAAGCACUGUGUUCCUUCUUAAGCCAGGUCCACAUCUUGCUCGCUGUUGUUCCUUCUACUUGCAAAACAACUACAACAAAACCUCUCUGGAAUGUGAGUAGCCCCGAGCUUGUCAUCCUCCCGUCUUUCCACUCAGUGGUGCCGACCAGCCUCUCUUCUCCUGUGCACCCAGUGUUUCGUCCACUUCCAGCGUGAAAUGGAUGAAACCGAGCUACUACCCCACAUCCCUUAGCCACUCCCUCGAACUCCUCCCAGUGCCUGUUCAGGAGUGCCCCAAAAGUCUACCAAGGAGCCAAUUCCGAUGCAAUCACACUAGGGUCUUUUUAUUUAAGUUUGAGCUUGGGCUCCCGCUGACAGGAGCCCAGUUUCAAGCAAGCAUUUAUAGAGGACAAGCAAGACUGGGGAGAUGCAAUGUGGCAUUAAAAAGUUGUCACCUGUGAUCCCAGCAUUCCGGAUCCUGAGUUCCAGGCCACUCUGAACGACAUAGUGAGACCCUUUCUCAAAAAACACCCGAUCCAACCAAUCAACGUCGAAGGCAAUCCAGCCCCUGCACUGCCCAUCGGAACACCCCUUAUUUGAUUAAGUAACUACUUCUAUUUCAAACAGCGGAGGGGAGAGCAGGAGGUAGAGAAUUCACCAAGAGUCUCUGAGACUCUUGAUGAAUGGUGCGUGCAUGCAGAAAGGAUUAAUGUGGAAUUAGCAUUUCCUGUCAUCAGACUCCCUGGUUAGGCAUCAACCGUCAAGGUCUAAGGGAAGAGGGGCAAAAUGGACUGUGAGCAGAAGCUGCCAGGUUUUUAGUAAGAGGACAGGCAGGCUCUGAGCUACCUGGGGUUACGGCCUGGAAUGUGGGUCUCAAAGCGACUACUGAUCACAAGAGUAAGUCCCGUGGCUUGAGGGAAGAAUGGCAACACGGUUUAAUUGAUUCAAGGAUUAGUGCUUUUGCCACUGGUGCUGAUGCCAGUGGACUCCAGAACACUGGAGGAGCUUUGGCCCAAUUAGGAAGUCAGCUGGAGCCUCCUCCCUGUGCAGGCAGCCGUGUUACCUGCUGUCUGAUGUUUUGCCAAUGCGCUUCAAUGCAAUCACUCCGCGGCGCUGGGAUGAUGUUUCAAUUUAGCCUGCUGCUCAGUCAGGACUCUUAAGAGCCUCAUUGUCCCGGAGUGGGCUUCCUGCCUGUUCCCUCGCUCUUCCUGCCUCUCCUCUCUUGGACACAGCUGUGACGUUGCUCACUGGCCAAGUGAGUUGUCAGUGUCCCUGGGCUGUGGGUUGGCAGGGUUCCACUUUCAGAGGAGCACUGGCCAGCUAGCAGGGGGAGGAUUGCAGGCUCUAGAAAUGCAAGUCUUGUUAUGUGGACUUCCAGAGUUCUCUGCAUUGAGGGUGGCCGGCGUUCCACAGUUGUUAUCAGAGAACGUUACAGCUUAGAAUCUUGUCUUGGACAUGUGGACAGGCAGAAAAUUCAGCCAGGGUUAGUGCUGAAGGAUGGGAGUUGGUGAGAGAGAAUUUAGGAGUUGUGUUAUGGUUUGUAUAUACUUGGCUCAGAAACUGGUACUUGGCUCAGAAGGUGUGGCUCUGUUGCAGUAGGUGUGUCACUGUAGGCGUGAGCUUUAAGACCCUCAUCCUAGCUGCUUGGAAGUGAGUCUUCCACCAGCAGCCUUCAGAUGAAGAUGUAGAACUCUCAGCUCCUCCUGCACCAUGCCUGCCUGGAUGCUGCCAUGCUCCCGCUUUGAUGAUAAUGAACUGAACCUCUGAACCUGUAAGCCAGCCCCAAUUAAAUAUUGAC
Long non-coding RNA from Mus musculus (house mouse), 2132 nucleotides. RefSeq annotates it as predicted gene, 39174. The transcript has 3 exons. NCBI's taxonomy places the organism in Eukaryota, Metazoa, Chordata, Mammalia, Rodentia, Muridae. The record is from RefSeq and is a predicted model, not a curated record.